CUGGCGGCGUGCCUAAUACAUGCAAGUCGAGCGGAAUGAUGAAGAAGCUUGCUUCUUCUGAUUUUAGCGGCGGACGGGUGAGUAACACGUGGGCAACCUACCUUGUAGAUUGGGAUAACUCCGGGAAACCGGGGCUAAUACCGAAUAAUCCAUUUUGCUUCAUGGCGAGAUGUUGAAAGACGGUUUCGGCUGUCACUACAAGAUGGGCCCGCGGCGCAUUAGCUAGUUGGUAGGGUAAUGGCCUACCAAGGCGACGAUGCGUAGCCGACCUGAGAGGGUGAUCGGCCACACUGGGACUGAGACACGGCCCAGACUCCUACGGGAGGCAGCAGUAGGGAAUCUUCCACAAUGGACGAAAGUCUGAUGGAGCAACGCCGCGUGAGUGAAGAAGGUUUUCGGAUCGUAAAACUCUGUUGUAAGGGAAGAACACGUACGAGAGUAACUGCUCGUACCUUGACGGUACCUUAUUAGAAAGCCACGGCUAACUACGUG
This 492-nucleotide ribosomal RNA is filed under the name uncultured bacterium. RNAcentral's name for it is "bacterial SSU rRNA". It matches the Rfam family "Bacterial small subunit ribosomal RNA", at positions 36 to 507 of the family's 1533-position model. The record is from RNAcentral.